GCGGGCGUGGUGGAAUUGGUAGACACGUCAGACUUAGGAUCUGAUGCCGCAAGGUGUGGGGGUUCGAGUCCCUUCGCCCGCACGA
Molecule: transfer RNA, 85 nt
Filed under: Flagellimonas alvinocaridis
Lineage: Bacteria; Pseudomonadati; Bacteroidota; Flavobacteriia; Flavobacteriales; Flavobacteriaceae
Description: Muricauda sp. SCR12 tRNA-Leu
Rfam family: tRNA
About the family: Transfer RNA (tRNA) molecules are approximately 80 nucleotides in length. Their secondary structure includes four short double-helical elements and three loops (D, anti-codon, and T loops).
Source: RNAcentral